AGUGAACGCUGGCGGUAGGCCUAACACAUGCAAGUCGAACGGCAGCACAGGAGAGCUUGCCCUCUGGGUGGCGAGUGGCGGACGGGUGAGGAAUACAUCCGAAUCUACUUUUUCGUGGGGGAUAACGUAGGGAAACUUACGCUAAUACCGCAUACGACCUACGGGUGAAAGCAGGGGACCUUCGGGCCUUGCGCGAUUGAAUGAGCCGAAGUCGGAUUAGCUAGUUGGCGGGGUAAAGGCCCACCAAGGCGACGAUCCGUAGCUGGUCUGAGAGGAUGAUCAGCCACAAUGGAGCUGAGACACGGUCCAGACUCCUACGGGAGGCAGCAGUGGGGAAUAUUGGACAAUGGGCGCAAGCCUGACCCAGCCAUACCGCGUGGGUGAAGAAGGCCUUCGGGUUGUAAAGCCCUUUUGUUGGGAAAGAAAUCCAGCUGGCUAAUACCCGGUUGGGAUGACGGUACCCAAAGAAUAAGCACCGGCUAACUUCGUGCCAGCCGCCGCCGUAA
RNAcentral lists this ribosomal RNA (506 nucleotides) under uncultured bacterium. Its description in RNAcentral is "partial 16S ribosomal RNA". It matches the Rfam family "Bacterial small subunit ribosomal RNA", at positions 29 to 523 of the family's 1533-position model. The record is from RNAcentral.